This 540-nucleotide ribosomal RNA is filed under the name uncultured Streptococcaceae bacterium. RNAcentral's name for it is "bacterial SSU rRNA". It matches the Rfam family "Bacterial small subunit ribosomal RNA", at positions 8 to 523 of the family's 1533-position model. Lineage: Bacteria; Bacillati; Bacillota; Bacilli; Lactobacillales; Streptococcaceae. The record is from RNAcentral.
AGAGUUUGAUCCUGGCUCAGGACGAACGCUGGCGGCGUGCCUAAUACAUGCAAGUAGGACGCACAGUUUAUACCGUAGCUUGCUACACCAUAGACUGUGAGUUGCGAACGGGUGAGUAACGCGUAGGUAACCUACCUAUUAGAGGGGGAUAACUAUUGGAAACGAUAGCUAAUACCGCAUAACAGUAUGUAACACAUGUUAGAUGCUUGAAAGAUGCAAUUGCAUCGCUAGUAGAUGGACCUGCGUUGUAUUAGCUAGUAGGUAGGGUAAUGGCCUACCUAGGCAACGAUACAUAGCCGACCUGAGAGGGUGAUCGGCCACACUGGGACUGAGACACGGCCCAGACUCCUACGGGAGGCAGCAGUGGGGAAUAUUGCACAAUGGGCGCAAGCCUGAUGCAGCCAUGCCGCGUGUAUGAAGAAGGCCUUCGGGUUGUAAAGUACUUUCAGCGAGGAGGAAGGCGUUGUGGUUAAUAACCGCAACGAUUGACGUUACUCGCAGAAGAAGCACCGGCUAACUCCGUGCCAGCCGCCGCGGUAA